UAGCUUGCUAGUGGUCGACGAGUGGCGGACGGGUGAGUAACGCGUAGGAAUCUACCUAGUAGUGGGGGAUAGCCAAGGGAAACUUUGGGUAAUACCGCAUACGAUCUAAGGAUGAAAGGGGGCCUCUCUUUGAAGCUCUCGCUAUUAGAUGAGCCUGCGUAAGAUUAGCUUGUUGGUGGGGUAAUGGCCCACCAAGGCGACGAUCUUUAGCUGGUCUGAGAGGAUGAUCAGUCACACUGGAACUGAGACACGGUCCAGACUCCUACGGGAGGCAGCAGUCGGGAAUAUUGGACAAUGGGGGAAACCCUGAUCCAGCCAUGCCGCGUGUGUGAAGAAGGCCCUAGGGUUGUAAAGCACUUUUAGUAGUGAGGAAGGCUCAGUAGUUAAUACCUACUGGGAUUGACGUUAGCUACAGAAAAAGCACCGGCUAAUUUCGUGCCAGCAGCCGCGGUAAUACGAAAGGUGCAAGCGUUAAUCGGAAUUACUGGGCGUAAAGCGCGCGUAGGCGGCUUGGUAAGUUGGAUGUGAAAGCCCCGGGCUCAACCUGGGAACUGCAUCCAAAACUGCCUAGCUAGAGUAUGGUAGAGGAUGGCGGAAUUUCCUGUGUAGCGGUGAAAUGCGUAGAUAUAGGAAGGAACAUCAGUGGCGAAGGCG
This 654-nucleotide ribosomal RNA is filed under the name Gammaproteobacteria bacterium. RNAcentral's name for it is "bacterial SSU rRNA". It matches the Rfam family "Bacterial small subunit ribosomal RNA", at positions 76 to 723 of the family's 1533-position model. Lineage: Bacteria; Pseudomonadati; Pseudomonadota; Gammaproteobacteria. The record is from RNAcentral.